This 398-nucleotide ribosomal RNA is filed under the name uncultured bacterium. RNAcentral describes it as "partial 16S ribosomal RNA". It matches the Rfam family "Bacterial small subunit ribosomal RNA", at positions 523 to 918 of the family's 1533-position model. The record is from RNAcentral.
GUACGUAGGGUGCGAGCGUUGUCCGGAAUUACUGGGCGUAAAGAGCUCGUAGGUGGUUUGUCGCGUCGUCUGUGAAAUUCCGGGGCUUAACUCCGGGCGUGCAGGCGAUACGGGCAUAACUUGAGUACUGUAGGGGAGACUGGAAUUCCUGGUGUAGCGGUGAAAUGCGCAGAUAUCAGGAGGAACACCGGUGGCGAAGGCGGGUCUCUGGGCAGUAACUGACGCUGAGGAGCGAAAGCAUGGGUAGCGAACAGGAUUAGAUACCCUGGUAGUCCAUGCCGUAAACGGUGGGCGCUAGGUGUAGGGGUCUUCCACGACUUCUGUGCCGUAGCUAACGCAUUAAGCGCCCCGCCUGGGGAGUACGGCCGCAAGGCUAAAACUCAAAUGAAUUGACGGGG